RNAcentral lists this transfer RNA (79 nucleotides) under Clostridia bacterium. Its description in RNAcentral is "tRNA-Val". It matches the Rfam family "tRNA". Rfam says of the family: Transfer RNA (tRNA) molecules are approximately 80 nucleotides in length. The record is from RNAcentral. RNAcentral also lists the same sequence under 1 other name. Lineage: Bacteria; Bacillati; Bacillota; Clostridia.
GGGGGCGUAGCUCAGCUUUGGUUAGAGCGUCCGGUUGACAUCCGGGAGGUCGUAGGUUCAAGUCCUAUCGUCCCCACCA